AAUCGGAAGCUUGGCGGCUGCACUUUCCCAUGAGUUUAUCUGGCAUGUAGCCAGCUGCUCGAGGUCGAGCUGUGGCGCUGAUGCUGAUGCUGCUUCAGUGCGACCUAGGUCGUGGUAGGAAAAGUGAUGGAUGACGUCGGCACUUUGGACGUCGAGGAACCCAAGCCAAUAAUAGAAGACUUCGGAGCUGCAGACGCGUCCGUGGCGACCGUCACGGUCGGAGGGACGUUCGAGGCCGCCGUUACGCUGAUGGUCGAAGACGUUCUACUCCUCAUCGACAUGGACUCAGAGGCCAUGUUCCUGCAGCACAUUUAGUGAGAAUGAACUGUGUAUGUUCAAGUGUAAUUUUGUGUUUCAAUUUUUCUUCGGGACCAGUAUAAAUAUCCGUAGUGUUUAAAAUUAUACCGGUUCAUUAUAGGGAAUAUUGAUGAAAAGUGCAUUUCAAAGGCUUUAUAAGAAGGAAGUGUAAGUCAGAAUACUUAUCUAUCCGAAUUUCCAGAUUACCAUUAUUUUUUGGAGUAAAUGAGAACCGCAUAAUCGGGAGCCGACCGUAAGCCGUUGUCUCACCUCGCUAUAAUUAGAUGUGAUAUCUUUACCAGAAAUUGGUAAAGUGAAUUCUUUUAUGAAGAUAUACUUUUACACAAUAUUUCUUCCACAAUUUAAGCGUUAUCGAGUGUCCCAGUUUUGUGUACUGUAUUUUUACAAUGAUAAUGAAUCAUUGGAAUAUUGAAUGAUUUCCAAUGAUAAUUAAUCAUUCACAUGCUUAUGAAUGACGGCGAAUUUAUGCAAUCCAUUCUUGAUGUAUGUCUUCCAAUGUGCUUCCAUUAGUGUGCAGAAAAUCAAAUGCAGAGGAACUCUGUCUUUUCGUUUGACCAAUCAGCAGAUUUUUGAUUGGGUAGACUCUUAUAUUAAGCAUCUUUAUAUUUCACGCAAAAAAAGUCUCUAGUUGAACAACAGCCCUAGGUAUUUCCCAACAAGCUCGUGAUUGGGAUUAGGUCCUUACUUCGAAUAUUGCAUGUUGCUGCGAACGUGAAUUUAUUGUUAUAAUUAUACACUUUUUCUUGUAUUUGUACGGGGCUUUUAUGCCUAGAUUGUUCAAUAUUAUAAAGGAGUAAUUCUCUAAGCAAUUAUUACUUGAAGAAUGGAGCGUUGCAGCGGUUCACCGUAGGCCGUUACAGGUCUGCGAAAGUGAUGACAUGUACAUCCUAAUAAAUUGUGAAUUUACA
Long non-coding RNA from Hyalella azteca, 1226 nucleotides. RefSeq lists it as uncharacterized. The transcript is spliced from 2 exons. NCBI's taxonomy places the organism in Eukaryota, Metazoa, Arthropoda, Malacostraca, Amphipoda, Hyalellidae. The record is from RefSeq and is a predicted model, not a curated record.